CUUAUGUGUCGGCUCAACCUAAGAAACCUAAUCUGUCGCUCUUUCUCUCUCAAAUCCGUGCCUUCGCGUCUCCAGUUCUCAACCCCUGUAAUCUCGUCUUCUUCGUCUGAUUCUCACAUCUUUCCGACCACAAGAUGUGAGGCUGUGAAGACAAUGAUGAACUACAUAGAAGAGUCAUUAGAUACUCUGCAAGUUUCAUAUGAAUCUUAGAAUCUAAGGUUUCAGUGUGAGCCUCAUCGUGACCUUUCUUUCCUGUAUUUUGUUUAGUUAACUCUUUCUGCUUUGUUGGACAUUCUAAGACGUUUGGAAUUUUAUGAAUCAUGCUUCUUUGUAGUGUGUAUUGGAAAGAGGAGAGUUUAAGAAUGUUGGACUUUUGUUUUUACUGAUAAUUUUUUUUUGG
Molecule: long non-coding RNA, 400 nt
Organism: Raphanus sativus (radish)
Lineage: Eukaryota; Viridiplantae; Streptophyta; Magnoliopsida; Brassicales; Brassicaceae
Exons: 4
Source: RefSeq, a predicted model, not a curated record